Molecule: long non-coding RNA, 1530 nt
Organism: Halichondria panicea
Lineage: Eukaryota; Metazoa; Porifera; Demospongiae; Suberitida; Halichondriidae
Exons: 3
Source: RefSeq, a predicted model, not a curated record
GAUCUAGACUACUAGCAAAGGUCAGGAAACCAUACUAGGCAUUGUAGGAUAGGAGGAUGAUGACUGGCAUUGGAUGCUGCUCAUUCUUAUUCAGCUACUUCAGGAGCAGACCUCCAAGAUGUAUGGCCUGUGGGCCAAAAUGCAGGACCAAGAUUCCCAAAAUCCCAAAGAAAAUAGCGCAGAUAUAGAUUUAGUACUUUGCAAUUUUUAUAGCAAUGUUUAGUGGUGCAUUUGCCGUCACGAUGAUGUUCCCUUUCCUACCAUUCAUGGUAGAGUUCCUAUUACCAUGGCUACUUGAAGACGAGACUCAAGUUGGUGAAUUCACCAGUGUUUACUGAUCAUGUAAUAACAAGAGUUUAUAAUAGAGAGAGAGUAUCGAACGUAGGCAUACUGUGUAUCAGAUGUAUGCGGAGAGUAACGUGACUUCCUGUAUCUGUCACAAGCUUGGAAUUUGCACACUGACCAAUCCAAGCGUGGGUGAUGUAAUCUAUCAACCCUUCCAAGUGUGGGUGAUGUAAUCUACUUUCUUGAUAGAUGACAUCACCCACACUUGGAUUGGUCAGUGUGCAAAUUCCAAGCUUGUGACAGAUACAGGAAGUCACGUUACUCUCCGCAUACAUCUGAUGUACAGUAUGCCUACGUUCGAUACUCUCUCUCUAUCAUAAACUCUUGGUAAUAAUAAACUUGCCCCAAAGCAAUGAGCGUACCGAAUUCCAUUAUCCAUUAUUGUUAACUAAGGAAGGUUUGCUCACAGUCUGUAAAGUAAGGCCACUCCAAGUGACACUCUGGUUUCUGGUCCUGAAGUUUUUCUAAUUGCAUGCGGGCGGGCGGGCGGCUUUUCUCAUUAUGUCAUUAUCAAUUUCACCUUAUGAACUCAUUAUUUUGCAAAUGAAUAUCAUUAUCGUACCACAUGGACCAUUCUGCGCAUGCGUAGUAGAAAUAAUGAGAUAGAAAUCCAAGAAUAAAAUUUGAUGCGGGCGGUGGACCAGAAACCAGAGUAUCACUUGGAGUGGCCUAAAGGUUUAGAUAGAUUGUUCUAAUUUAUUUCCUUCUCUAUACCACAAUUUAAUAACCAAACUAGACUGCACUCUCUGAUAUCCUUGUUCUUUGUCCAGGAAAGGUCUGUUGUGGUUUGUCCUGUGUCUAACACUGAUCGUUAACCAAGUCUGCAUUGGGGUGCUCAUGAGCUGUAGCAUUCUGUUCAUCAACAAUUCUGCCCCCUUUGGCAAGCUUGGAACCAUCCAUGGCCUAGCCACCUCUCUCACCUCAUUUGGAAGGUCGUUGGCUCCAGUGGUGGCAGGAGGUAUGUUUUCCCUCAGUUUGUCUGCUACUAUGAGUGGCUAUGGAUACCCUAUCGACUACAGAUUCGUCUUUCUCAUGUUCGGACUAAUGUAUCUCUGGUGUGUGUUGUUUGUCGCUUGUCUGCCUGUUAGCAUCAAUAAACAAAAAAUAAUUGAAAAAUGACAAUGUUUGUUUUGGUCGGUGCUAUUUGUUUACCGUAUAGCAUAUAUAUAGGAGCAAUGAUUUAUG